UUAUUCUUGCAGAAUAAAGGUGCUAACAAGCAUAAUCGGGAAUUCGGUGAAAAACCGAAGCUGUUUCCGCAACUGUAAGUACAGCUAGUAUAAAGGUUUACCACUGUCUUAACAGAGAUGGGAAGGUACUUUAUCACACAUUCGUUUUUUAUGUAAUGAACUGUACAAGCCAGGAGACCGACCUUUGUUUGAACGUAUAA
RNAcentral lists this non-coding RNA (200 nucleotides) under Lysinibacillus sphaericus. The record is from RNAcentral. Lineage: Bacteria; Bacillati; Bacillota; Bacilli; Caryophanales; Bacillaceae.